This 324-nucleotide ribosomal RNA is filed under the name uncultured eukaryote. RNAcentral's name for it is "partial 18S ribosomal RNA". It matches the Rfam family "Eukaryotic small subunit ribosomal RNA", at positions 1470 to 1796 of the family's 1831-position model. The record is from RNAcentral.
CCCUUAGAUGUCCUGGGCUGCACGCGCGCUACACUGAUGUGUCCAGUAAGCACCUAACCUCUUCCGAAAGGAACGGGUAACCUUUGCAAAGCACAUCGUGAUGGGGAUAGAUUAUUGCAAUUAUUAGUCUUGAACGAGGAAUUCCUAGUAAGCACAAGUCAUCAGCUUGUGUUGAUUACGUCCCUGCCCCUUGUACACACCGCCCGUCGCUCAUACCGAUUGAAUGUUCCGGUGAGCUCUUCGGACUGCGCGGUCUGCAGUUUCUGCGUUCCGUGCGGAAAGUUGCGCAAACCUUAACAUUUAGAGGAAGGAGAAGUCGUAACA